Molecule: ribosomal RNA, 435 nt
Filed under: uncultured eukaryote
Lineage: Eukaryota
Description: bacterial SSU rRNA
Rfam family: Eukaryotic small subunit ribosomal RNA
Source: RNAcentral
CAGUAGCGUAUAUUAAAGUUGUUGCGGUUAAAAAGCUCGUAGUUGGAUUUCUGUCGGUGAGAGGCGGUCAGCCCUAGUGGUUUGCACACGUCGCACCAUCGGCAUCUCUGUGGGGAACGUGUCUGCACUUCAGUGUGUGGCGUGUGAUCCAGGACAUUUACUUUGAGGAAAUUACAGUGUUCCAAGCAGGCUUGCGCUCUAUGAAUACGUUAGCAUGGAAUAAUAGCAUCGGACCUCGACCUAAAAGACUGUUGGUUUCUUGGGUCGAGGUAAAGAUGAAUAGGGAUUGUUGGGGCGAUUCGUAUUUAACUGUCAGAGGUGAAAUUACUUGGUAUUUGUUUGAAGAACGGACUACUGCGAAGGCAUCUGCCAAAGAAUGCUCUCAUUGUAUCAAGAACGAAAGUUAAGGGGUAGUCGAAGAUGAUCAGAUACCAU